RNAcentral lists this ribosomal RNA (238 nucleotides) under uncultured bacterium. RNAcentral describes it as "partial 16S ribosomal RNA". It matches the Rfam family "Bacterial small subunit ribosomal RNA", at positions 118 to 350 of the family's 1533-position model. The record is from RNAcentral.
UGAGGAACAUGACCUUCGGCGGGGGAUAGCCGGCCCAACGGCCGGGUAAUACCGCGUACGACCAUUUGGGGACAUCCCCGAGUGGUGAAAGCAGCAAUGCGCCGAUGGAGUGCCUCGCGGCCUAUCAGCUAGUUGGUGAGGUAACGGCUCACCAAGGCAACGCGGGUANCUGGUCUGAGAGGACACCAGCCACACUGGAACUGAGAUACGGUCCAGACCUCCGUACGGGAGGNACGCG